RNAcentral lists this ribosomal RNA (307 nucleotides) under Ochromonas sp. CCMP1393. Its description in RNAcentral is "partial Bacterial large subunit ribosomal RNA". It matches the Rfam family "Bacterial large subunit ribosomal RNA", at positions 2613 to 2916 of the family's 2925-position model. The record is from RNAcentral. Lineage: Eukaryota; Chrysophyceae; Chromulinales; Chromulinaceae.
AGAACGUCGUGAGACAGUUCGGUCCCUAUCUGCCGUGGGCGUUUGAUAUUUGAGAGGAGUUGACCUUAGUACGAGAGGACCGGGUUGAACGUAUCUCUGGUGUUCCGGUUGUCACGCCAGUGGCAUCGCCGGGUAGCUAAAUACGGACGGGAUAACCGCUGAAAGCAUCUAAGCGGGAAGCCCACCUCAAGAUGAGAUAUCACGGAUCUUAAGAUCCCUAAAGAGCCCUUGUAGACAACAAGGUUGAUAGGCGCGAUGUGGAAGUGCAGUAAUGCAUGGAGCUAACGCGUACUAAUUGCUCGUGAGG